GCCUAACACAUGCAAGUCAACUUGGACUGAAGGAGCAAUCUGACAGUAGAGUGGCGCAAGGGUGCGUAACGCGUAAGUAACUUGCCCAAGGUAAGGAAUAACGUCGAGAAAUCGGCGCUAAUACCUCAUAAUGCAGCGGAUCCGCAUGGAUAUGUUGUUAAAGGUUUACCGCCUUGGGAUAGGCUUGCGUCUGAUUAGCUAGUUGGUGUGGUAACGGCACACCAAGGCUACGAUCAGUAACUGGUCUGAGAGGAUGAUCAGUCACACUGGAACUGAGACACGGUCCAGACUCCUACGGGAGGCAGCAGUGAGGAAUAUUGGGCAAUGCUCGAAAGAGUGACCCAGCAACGCCGCGUGGAGGAUGAAGGUAUUCUAUAUCGUAAACUCCUGUGAGAGCAGACGAAAGACAGAUUAUUAAUCUGGAUGACUGUAUGCUCAGAGGAAGCCCCGGCUAACUACGUG
RNAcentral lists this ribosomal RNA (462 nucleotides) under uncultured bacterium. RNAcentral's name for it is "bacterial SSU rRNA". It matches the Rfam family "Bacterial small subunit ribosomal RNA", at positions 46 to 507 of the family's 1533-position model. The record is from RNAcentral.